Molecule: unclassified non-coding RNA, 336 nt
Filed under: soil metagenome
Description: partial contains 5.8S ribosomal RNA, internal transcribed spacer 2, and large subunit ribosomal RNA
Rfam family: 5.8S ribosomal RNA (bases 1-120)
Source: RNAcentral
GAUGAAGAACGCAGCGAAAUGCGAUAAGUAAUGUGAAUUGCAGAAUUCAGUGAAUCAUCGAAUCUUUGAACGCACAUUGCGCCCGCCAGUAUUCUGGCGGGCAUGCCUGUUCGAGCGUCAUUUCAACCAUCAAGCCCCCGGCUUGUGUUGGGGACCCGCGGCUGCCGCAGGCCCUGAAAAGCAGUGGCGGGCUCGCUGUCACACCGAGCGUAGUAGCAUACAUCUCGCUCUGGGCGUGCUGCGGGUUCCGGCCGUUAAACCACCUUCAUAACCCAAGGUUGACCUCGGAUCAGGUAGGAAGACCCGCUGAACUUAAGCAUAUCAAUAAGCGGAGGA